ACCUCAACGCGAUUUAUUGUUAUUCCGAUAUUUGAUAUAAGAGUGUCUAACGACCUAGAAGAAAAAUUUUCUUCCUCUAAGGAAGUAUCAGGCAUCCCUUCUGACACAUAAAUCGUCAGAUAUGGUUAUGAUUUUUAGUUCUACAUGAACCCUAUUGAGGGAAAGAUGAUGAGAAUUGUGGGAUUAUCCAUAUGAAGUUCCCUCUCCAUAAUCACUCACUAAAUCAACACUAUCAUUACCCCUUUUGAAUAAAAGCAUAAAAUGC
This 265-nucleotide long non-coding RNA is filed under the name Lathyrus oleraceus (garden pea). RNAcentral describes it as "Pisum sativum (pea) long non-coding RNA (PSAT_LNC011005)". Lineage: Eukaryota; Viridiplantae; Streptophyta; Magnoliopsida; Fabales; Fabaceae. The record is from RNAcentral.